GUUGAGAAAAGGAACAACUCUCAGAACAAGAUCAAAUUCCGAUUUCAUAUUCUUGGUACUUAGAGUUUUUAUGACACCUUUUAAAAUAAGUCACAUAGUUCAAUCCUACUCCUCAUUUAGCGCUCUAGAUCACUCAAAGUUUUUUUUUAGUAGUCCUCACCAAGGCAUGAAUGCCAACUUGUUUCAUCCUAUAACUAUAGGCUUAUAUGGGGCUUGGUAGGGAUAAACAAGGUAGCAUACUCUACUUUGCAAAUAUUGUUAAGUCAAAAACAAGGAUCCAAAGAGAGGAGUGUCAUAGUCAUAGAUCAAGAUGUGCAAGUGUGUUAUAUGGUGGACUAGGUUGCUCCUUUAUUUGCUACACUCUCUCUACUUGUAUAUUGAGACAUGGCUAGAUUUUCUUUUUCUUCGAGCUUUAUGUGCUCAAUUUUUUUUUAUUUUGCCAAGCCUUUUAUGUCUCAUUUUCUAAACAAUAUUUAGAGAGGUGUUCUAACACUUAGAGUAUGGAGCAACCUAUUUAGUGGAUGCACAAUACAUGUGGUUGCGUACUUCCAGUGUAGAAGCAGCAUAUAUAUAUGUGGUGUGUACGUGAUCUUGAUCUUGUGACUAUGAUACAACUCUCACUAGGGUCAACAAGGUUUUGACAAAACUCAUUACAAAAGCAGGUUGCAUUUCAUAAAAUGGUUACUUGAAUAUCUAAGUGUAUGGCUUUUGGUGGGAAUUUCUUGCUAAUGAGGAGUAAAUGAUACUAUGGUUUUGUGAUAUUUUUGAAACAAAUCUCUAAGUACCUUGAAUAGAAAUGUUAUGAAUUCUUAGCCAAGAGUUAUAUCACUUUCAUC
RNAcentral lists this long non-coding RNA (836 nucleotides) under Sorghum bicolor (sorghum). RNAcentral describes it as "long non-coding RNA (SBIC_LNC015679)". The record is from RNAcentral. Lineage: Eukaryota; Viridiplantae; Streptophyta; Magnoliopsida; Poales; Poaceae.